GAUGAAGAACGUAGCGAAAUGCGAUAAGUAAUGUGAAUUGCAGAAUUCAGUGAAUCAUCGAAUCUUUGAACGCACAUUGCGCCCGCCAGUAUUCUGGCGGGCAUGCCUGUUCGAGCGUCAUUACAACCCUCAGGCCCCCGGGCCUGGCGUUGGGGAUCGGCGGAAGCCCCCUGCGGGCACAACGCCGUCCCCCAAAUACAGUGGCGGUCCCGCCGCAGCUUCCAUUGCGUAGUAGCUAACACCUCGCAACUGGAGAGCGGCGCGGCCACGCCGUAAAACACCCAACUUCUGAAUGUUGACCUCGAAUCAGGUAGGAAUACCCGCUGAACUUAAGCAUAUCAAUAAUCGGAGGA
This 353-nucleotide unclassified non-coding RNA is filed under the name soil metagenome. RNAcentral describes it as "partial contains 5.8S ribosomal RNA, internal transcribed spacer 2, and large subunit ribosomal RNA". The stretch from base 1 to 120 matches the Rfam family "5.8S ribosomal RNA", at positions 35 to 154 of the family's 154-position model. The record is from RNAcentral.